GUUAUACUCCCUCCGUCCCAAAAUUCUUGUCUUAAAUUUGUCUACAUACGGAUGUAUCUACUAUUCACAUUUUACUGUUAGAUACAUCCGUAUCUAUAUAAAUCUAAGACAAGAAUUUUGGGACGGAGGGAGUAUUAA
Triticum aestivum (bread wheat) is the source of this 138-nucleotide non-coding RNA. The record is from Rfam. NCBI's taxonomy places the organism in Eukaryota, Viridiplantae, Streptophyta, Magnoliopsida, Poales, Poaceae.